AAUAAACCAAUUUUUUACUUUUUACAUAUAAUUUUUAACUCUUCGUUUUAUUAAAAAAAUUUUGUAAUUAAUGUUUUUGUUUUUAUUAGAUGAUAAAUCAUAAAUAGUACUUUAUGUGUGACUAAUUUUUUUCUAAUUUUUUUUAAAAAAUUUAAAUAAGACGGAUGGUCAAACGUUGGACACAGAAACCGGAGAAUUGAAU
Molecule: microRNA precursor, 202 nt
Filed under: Oryza brachyantha (malo sina)
Lineage: Eukaryota; Viridiplantae; Streptophyta; Magnoliopsida; Poales; Poaceae
Description: MIR812 microRNA precursor family
Rfam family: MIR812 microRNA precursor family
Source: Rfam by way of RNAcentral